AGUGAACGCUGGCGGUAGGCCUAACACAUGCGAGCCGAACGGCAGCACAGUAAGAGCUUGCUCUUACGGGUGGCGAGUGGCGGACGGGUGAGGAAUACAUCGGAAUCUACUUUUUCGUGGGGGAUAACGUAGGGAAACUUACGCUAAUACCGCAUACGACCUACGGGUGAAAGCAGGGGAUCUUCGGACCUUGCGCGAUUGAAUGAGCCGAUGUCGGAUUAGCUAGUUGGCGGGGUAAAGGCCCACCAAGGCGACGAUCCGUAGCUGGUCUGAGAGGAUGAUCAGCCACACUGGAACUGAGACACGGUCCAGACUCCUACGGGAGGCAGCAGUGGGGAAUAUUGGACAAUGGGCGCAAGCCUGAUCCAGCCAUACCGCGUGGGUGAAGAAGGCCUUCGGGUUGUAAAGCCCUUUUGUUGGGAAAGAAAAGCAGCAGGUUAAUACCCCGCUGUUCUGACGGUACCCAAAGAAUAAGCACCGGCUAACUUCGUG
Molecule: ribosomal RNA, 492 nt
Filed under: uncultured bacterium
Lineage: Bacteria
Description: partial 16S ribosomal RNA
Rfam family: Bacterial small subunit ribosomal RNA
Source: RNAcentral